UAAUACAGAGGGUGCGAGCGUUAAUCGGAAUUACUGGGCGUAAAGGGCGCGUAGGUGGUUAAUUAAGUCAGAUGUGAAAUCCCCGGGCUUAACCUGGGAAUGGCAUAUGAAACUGAUUAGCUAGAGUUUGGGAGAGGGAAGUGGAAUUUCAGGUGUAGCGGUGAAAUGCGUAGAUAUCUGAAGGAACACCAGUGGCGAAGGCGACUUCCUGGCCCGAUACUGACACUGAGGCGCGAAAGCGUGGGGAGCAAACAGGAUUAGAUACCCUGGUAGUCCACGCCGUAAACGAUGAGAACUAGAUGUUAGGGGACUUGAUCCUUUAGUAUCGCAGCUAACGCACUAAGUUCUCCGCCUGGGGAGUACGGCCGCAAGGUUA
This 376-nucleotide ribosomal RNA is filed under the name uncultured bacterium. RNAcentral's name for it is "bacterial SSU rRNA". It matches the Rfam family "Bacterial small subunit ribosomal RNA", at positions 521 to 896 of the family's 1533-position model. The record is from RNAcentral.